AACGCACAUUGCGCCCCCUGGUAUUCCGGGGGGCAUGCCUGUCCGAGCGUCAUUGCUGUCCGUCAAGCGCGGCUUGUGUGUUGGGCCGCUGUCCCCCCACCGCGGGGGACGGGCCCGAAAGGCAGCGGCGGCACCGCGUCCGGUUCUCGAGCGUAUGGGGCUCUGUCACCCGCUCUGGAGGCCUGACCGGCGCCCGCCGACCUCCCAACCUUUGUAACCAGGUUGACCUCGGAUCAGGUAGGGAUACCCGCUGAACUUAA
This 260-nucleotide unclassified non-coding RNA is filed under the name uncultured fungus. RNAcentral's name for it is "partial contains 5.8S ribosomal RNA, internal transcribed spacer 2, and large subunit ribosomal RNA". The stretch from base 1 to 52 matches the Rfam family "5.8S ribosomal RNA", at positions 103 to 154 of the family's 154-position model. Lineage: Eukaryota; Fungi. The record is from RNAcentral.